UUUAUGGAGAGUUUGAUCCUGGCUCAGGAUGAACGCUGGCGGCGUGCCUAACACAUGCAAGUCGAGCGGCAGCGCGAGUAGUUUACUACUUGGCGGCGAGCGGCGGACGGCUGAGUAACGCGUGGGAAUCUGCCCCAAAGUGAGGGAUAACUGCCCGAAAGGGUGGCUAAUACCGCAUAUGAUCUUCGGAUUAAAGGAUUUAUCCGCUUUGGGAGAAGCCCGCGUCGGAUUAGGUAGUUGGUGAGGUAAUGGCUCACCAAGCCGACGAUCCGUAGCUGGUCUGAGAGGAUGACCAGCCAGACUGGAACUGAGACACGGUCCAGACUCCUACGGGAGGCAGCAGUGAGGAAUCUUCCACAAUGGGCGAAAGCCUGAUGGAGCAACGCCGCGUGCAGGAUGAAGGCCUUCGGGUUGUAAACUGCUUUUAUAAGUGAGGAAUAUGACGGUAACUUAUGAAUAAGGAUCGGCUAACUACGUGCCAGCAGCCGCGGUCAUACGU
This 499-nucleotide ribosomal RNA is filed under the name Saccharimonas sp. (SeqCode). Its description in RNAcentral is "bacterial SSU rRNA". It matches the Rfam family "Bacterial small subunit ribosomal RNA", at positions 1 to 528 of the family's 1533-position model. Lineage: Bacteria; Candidatus Saccharimonadota; Candidatus Saccharimonadia; Saccharimonadales (SeqCode); Saccharimonadaceae (SeqCode). The record is from RNAcentral.